Molecule: transfer RNA, 72 nt
Filed under: Stanieria sp.
Lineage: Bacteria; Bacillati; Cyanobacteriota; Cyanophyceae; Pleurocapsales; Dermocarpellaceae
Also listed under: 21 other names
Description: tRNA-Gly
Rfam family: tRNA
About the family: Transfer RNA (tRNA) molecules are approximately 80 nucleotides in length. Their secondary structure includes four short double-helical elements and three loops (D, anti-codon, and T loops). Further hydrogen bonds mediate the characteristic L-shaped molecular structure. tRNAs have two regions of fundamental functional importance: the anti-codon, which is responsible for specific mRNA codon recognition, and the 3' end, to which the tRNAs corresponding amino acid is attached (by aminoacyl-tRNA synthetases). tRNAs cope with the degeneracy of the genetic code in two manners: having more than one tRNA (with a specific anti-codon) for a particular amino acid; and 'wobble' base-pairing, i.e. permitting non-standard base-pairing at the 3rd anti-codon position.
Source: RNAcentral
GCGGGUGUAGUUCAGUGGUAGAACGUCAGCUUCCCAAGCUGAAUGUCGUGGGUUCGAGUCCCAUCAUCCGCU